AACGAACGUUGGCGGCGUGGAUUAGGCAUGCAAGUCGAGGGAAUCCCAGCAAUGGGGGAACCGGCGUAAGGGGCAGUAAUGUGUGGGUACCUACCUUUGGGUUCGGGAUAGCCAUCAGAGAUGGUGGGUAAUACCGGAUGAUGUCGUGAGACCAAAGAUUCAUCGCCCGGAGAGGGGCCCACAUGAUAUUAGCUAGUUGGUGGGGUAACGGCUCACCAAGGCGAAGAUGUCUAGCGGGUGUGAGAGCACGACCCGCGCCACUCGCACUGAGACACUGGCGAGACACCUACGGGUGGCUGCAGUCGAGGAUCUUCGGCAAUGAGCGCAAGCUUGACCGAGCGACGCCGCGUGCGCGAUGAAGGCCUCCGGGUUGUAAAGCGCUUUAGGGGGGGAGAAAAGCCGAAAGGUGUGAUCUAUCCCCAAAAUAAGCACGGGCUAAGUUCGUGCCAGCAGCCGCUGUAACAC
Molecule: ribosomal RNA, 465 nt
Filed under: uncultured bacterium
Lineage: Bacteria
Description: bacterial SSU rRNA
Rfam family: Bacterial small subunit ribosomal RNA
Source: RNAcentral